Molecule: long non-coding RNA, 997 nt
Filed under: Marmota monax (woodchuck)
Lineage: Eukaryota; Metazoa; Chordata; Mammalia; Rodentia; Sciuridae
Source: RNAcentral
UGAGCAAAGCAAGGGUCGACUGAAAGUGUGGAGUCUAAGACAAAGGAGGUGGAGAAGGCCUUCCUGGUGCAAAGAGUUCAAGGACCAGGCCACGCAAGCUUCCUGGGAGCCGAGGUCCACUGGAGGCUUGGCAGGACGGUCUCACUGCCACGUCCUGGGGAGACCCCGCCCGCGCCACCUUCUCGGCCACCUCCCCUGGCUCCAUUGGCAUCUCAGGUGGUCCCUCUGAGAGGAGCUGGUGGGUGCUGUCACCCUUCUCACCUCACCUGAGCACAGGGAGAUGGCGAGCGGCCGGCGGCCGUGGCCCAGUGUCAGCUCCUGUUCACUCUGGGCACUCUGUCCUCACACGAGGGUGUCCACAGACAUGGGUACCCUGGUGCCAGGCUCUGCUCCUCUGGCCGGUUGGUGUGAAUGCACGAGGGCGACCCCAGAGGCAGGAUGCAGAAAAAUGAAGGAAUCAGUCAUUGUGCUCUGAGCCGUGAUGCGAUCUUUUUUCUUUUCUUUUUUUAUUGGGUGACUUUAAGUGAUGACAGGGCCACACAGAUUGCAUGACUAACUCUGCUCAAAGCAGCAUACUCCUUUGUAGCCUUUUGCAGUUUGAACGCUGAUUUCAUGGGCACUACUUCAUGGUGGUGAGGUGAACGGGAGGGCACGGUGGGUUCAUCCUAGGGGAUCAGGAGAUGACCAGGGAAUGCAUAAGAAACCCCGAGGGGAAGCAAACACAGUGAGAGGGGAAAGAGAGGGAAGUGAUUGAGCAAGACAACAGCAUUUUGUUCUUGUUCCUUUAAGAAUACAUGUUCUAGGCCGGAAUCCCACAGGCUGGAGGCUGAGGCAGGAGAAUCAUGAGUUCAAAGCCAGCCUCAGCAACUUAAUGAGACCCUAAGCAGCUUAGCAGGAUGCUGUCUCAAAACAAAAAAUAAAAAGGGUUGGGUAUGUGGCUCAGUGAUUAAGUAGUGGGUUCAAUCCCUGGUAACCAAAAAAACAAAACCAAACCAAA